Molecule: small RNA, 108 nt
Filed under: Erwinia rhapontici
Lineage: Bacteria; Pseudomonadati; Pseudomonadota; Gammaproteobacteria; Enterobacterales; Erwiniaceae
Description: SraH RNA
Source: RNAcentral
AUGUUCACCCAAUACCUAAACCUGAGCUCUCGACGAUUCUUAUCAGAAUAGCUCAGGAGGACCUUUUUCCCUGGUGUUGGCGCAGUAUUCGCGCACCCCGGCUUCGGU